AAGUUUUUCAUUGUAACUUGCUUGCAAAUUGUAUUUGCAACAUUUUAAUCUUUUUAAGAUUAAGGGCCUAUAGCUCAGUUGGUUAGAGCACACGCCUGAUAAGCGUGAGGUCGGUGGUUCAAGUCCAUUUAGGCCCACCAUAACCACAAAUAGGCAAAAUCUUAAAAAAGCUCUUUGAAAAGUAGAUAAACGAAGGUAAAAAAAUCA
Molecule: unclassified non-coding RNA, 207 nt
Filed under: 'Verbena x hybrida' phytoplasma
Lineage: Bacteria; Bacillati; Mycoplasmatota; Mollicutes; Acholeplasmatales; Acholeplasmataceae
Description: 16S-23S ribosomal intergenic spacer
Rfam family: tRNA (bases 64-137)
Source: RNAcentral